ACUUUGAACCGAUCUGUGUAGGAUAGGUGGGAGGCUUUGAAGCGGGGACGCCAGUUCUCGUGGAGCCAUCCUUGAAAUACCACCCUGGUAAUGUUGGGGUUCUAACUCAAGCUUAACAGAGCUGAGGACAAUGUAUGGUGGGUAGUUUGACUGGGGCGGUCUCCUCCUAAAGAGUAACGGAGGAGUACGAAGGUGCGCUCAGAACGGUCGGAAAUCGUUCGAAGAGUAUAAAGGCAAAAGCGCGCUUAACUGCGAGACCCACAAGUCGAGCAGAUACGAAAGUAGGUCUUAGUGAUCCGGUGGUUCUGUAUGGAAGGGCCAUCGCUCAACGGAUAAAAGGUACUCUGGGGAUAACAGGCUGAUACCGCCCAAGAGUUCAUAUCGACGGCGGUGUUUGGCACCUCGAUGUCGGCUC
RNAcentral lists this ribosomal RNA (415 nucleotides) under Ditylum brightwellii. Its description in RNAcentral is "partial Bacterial large subunit ribosomal RNA". It matches the Rfam family "Bacterial large subunit ribosomal RNA", at positions 2121 to 2538 of the family's 2925-position model. The record is from RNAcentral. Lineage: Eukaryota; Bacillariophyta; Thalassiosirophyceae; Lithodesmiales; Lithodesmiaceae.